CGGCAGACGGGUGAGUAACGCGUGGGAACAUACCUUUUGGUUCGGAACAACACAGGGAAACUUGUGCUAAUACCGGAUAAGCCCUUACGGGAAAGAUUUAUCGCCGAAAGAUUGGCCCGCGUCUGAUUAGCUAGUUGGUGAGGUAAUGGCUCACCAAGGCGACGAUCAGUAGCUGGUCUGAGAGGAUGAUCAGCCACAUUGGGACUGAGACACGGCCCAA
Molecule: ribosomal RNA, 220 nt
Filed under: uncultured bacterium
Lineage: Bacteria
Description: partial 16S ribosomal RNA
Rfam family: Bacterial small subunit ribosomal RNA
Source: RNAcentral